AGAAAACCCAAACAGAGAAGAGCGAAGAAGAUUCAGAGCAGAAUUAGGGUUUACGAUUGAUUACCCAAACAACAACAACGACAUGUAUAAUCAUCUUCUUCCCCAUCAUCGCUCCCCCGGCCUCACUCUGGAUUCCUACUUGGUUUGGUUUCUAAAUUUGCAGCAGUGGCUUUGAUCUAUCGGUGCUUUUUGGAAGCGUGGCUUUGGACUCUGAAAUCUCAACUUCUUUUAGGAUUGAUUGAUUGCGGAGGAUAACUGUAGUAUUGAUCGAUGGGUGAUUGAGGAGGAGGGUACUAAGAUCUCUCCCUGAUGGUUUGAUUGAGGAGGAGGGUACUAAGAUCUUCUUGGGUCUUCUUUUGGAAUUACUUCUGAACAGCAAGCUUUGUCAAAGGAUGGAUCACAACUAGGCAGAAUAUGAAGAUCAUAUGCGGGGAUAGCUGGUGAUGUGUGAUUUGCUGAGGCAGUGGUGCGUCUUCUUCCUUGUCCACUUCAAUUUCUCCCCUUCCAUAUAAGUUGUGAUGCAUUCUUACACAACGAUGGUCCAAUCCUAUUCUGGACAUUGGAUUGGGGUUUGUUUCAGGAGUCUAGAUAUUGGAUCGACUCAGAACAAACACGGUCGCCAGCGUGCGUGUUAUUACAUCAAACUGAUCGAUUACAAAAUAAAAAGGUUUGUUUAUGUGGCUGUGUGUUCCAAACCAGGACAAUGACUCAUGUUUUUCAAGGACGUACGAAAGCAUCAAGGUUUAGCACUGAGAGGGAGGGGACUUAUCUUGAUGUGAUCGAUGUCUUGCAAUCUCUAAAGAGGUGUCUCUGAAGAUCUAGCCGGUGUCUCUUAGUUUAGCACUUUGAUCCCAAUUGAUCUUUUUUAAUCCUCGUCUUCUUAGCUUCUAUCAUGUUGUUAGUCGAAGCUUUUAAAAUGCCAAUGACAAGAGACUGCAUCUGCCCCCAGGCUUCCUGUUAAUUCCAAUUCUGACAUGAGUAGUGAUCCUGGUGUUGUGACUUGUAAGGAACUACUUACUUCUUUUGGUAGAGAGAAGAAGCUCAAUCGUCAGGCC
Molecule: non-coding RNA, 1055 nt
Organism: Camelina sativa (false flax)
Lineage: Eukaryota; Viridiplantae; Streptophyta; Magnoliopsida; Brassicales; Brassicaceae
Source: RefSeq, a predicted model, not a curated record